Molecule: long non-coding RNA, 701 nt
Filed under: Sorghum bicolor (sorghum)
Lineage: Eukaryota; Viridiplantae; Streptophyta; Magnoliopsida; Poales; Poaceae
Description: long non-coding RNA (SBIC_LNC013073)
Source: RNAcentral
GCCGAUGAGGGGAUUCAUCACCCCCAUGAGAGCACUCGCUGUCACCCCAGCCAUCUCUCCUUGUGUAGCUCUCUACUCCACCUUUACUUUUUUUUUGAAACGAACGACAAGAAUUCUGCCUCUCAAUUAAGGAAGGAAUAAAAGAGUUUUAUGUACAGGUUGCAGAUCAACCGAAAGGGAAAACAAAGGAGGAAAAGAGGAGUGGCAAACACAUCAUAAACUCCAGCUUGCUAGCCUUCCCUUUCUAAAGCACGUCUACUCCAUCAUAUACUGUGAUGGAUACUGCUAUAUUUCAGCACUUGUCUGGCAAGAAGCUUCAUGCAGGCACCAACGCGUGGACUGAGGAAGUAAAGAGUCUUACCACUUUACCAGUAAGGGAAAUUGUUUGGAAAUGAUAGAGGCUUACCUCGCAUGUCAAGUGGGGUUCACCUCACGUGUCAAGUGGGAUUCUAGAAUAUAGGAUAGCUUGUACGUCAUUCAACACCACAAACUGCUAGAAGAAUUGGAAUUAUGCCAUUUUUAGAAUUUGAGUAGUCAAGCCUUCUCAAUUUGAUCGCUGCUAAUUACAGAGCAAAAGUAUUUAGAUCACUCGUGUCGUGUAUGUAGGGAUGAAAACGGAUCGGAUACGGACAGAUAUUACUGAUAUCAUAUUUGUUUUCAUAUUUCUGGUCGGAUUCGGAUUCGAAUACAGAUAAUGUCAA